UACAGAGGGUGCGAGCGUUGUUCGGAAUUAUUGGGCGUAAAGCGCGUGUAGGCGGCCUUGCAAGUUGGGUGUGAAAGCCCUCGGCUUAACCGAGGAAGUGCGCCCAAAACUACGGGGCUUGAGUGCCGGAGAGGGUGGCGGAAUUCCCGGUGUAGAGGUGAAAUUCGUAGAUAUCGGGAGGAACACCAGUGGCGAAGGCGGCCACCUGGACGGCAACUGACGCUGAGACGCGAAAGCGUGGGGAGCAAACAGG
Molecule: ribosomal RNA, 253 nt
Filed under: uncultured bacterium
Lineage: Bacteria
Description: partial 16S ribosomal RNA
Rfam family: Bacterial small subunit ribosomal RNA
Source: RNAcentral